UGGCGGUGCUUGCACCAAAGAGAUUUCACAAUGAGACGAGUGGCGAACUGGUGAGUAACACGUGGGGAACCUGCCCAUAAGCAGGGGAUAACACUUGGAAACAGGUGCUAAUACCGUAUAACAAUGUAAACCGCAUGGUUUACAUUUGAAAGAUGGUUUCGGCUAUCACUUAUGGAUGGACCCGCGGCGCAUUAGCUAGUUGGUGAGGUAACGGCUCACCAAGGCAAUGAUGCGUAGCCGACCUGAGAGGGUAAUCGGCCACAUUGGGACUGAGACACGGCCCAAACUCCUACGGGAGGCAGCAGUAGGGAAUCUUCCACAAUGGACGAAAGUCUGAUGGAGCAACGCCGCGUGAGUGAAGAAGGGUUUCGGCUCGUAAAACUCUGUUGUUGGAGAAGAACGUGGAUGAGAGUAACUGUUCAUUCAGUGACGGUAUCCAACCAGAAAGCCACGGCUAACUACGUGCCAGCAGCCGCGGUAAUACGUAGGUGGCAAGCGUU
This 500-nucleotide ribosomal RNA is filed under the name Lentilactobacillus senioris. RNAcentral describes it as "bacterial SSU rRNA". It matches the Rfam family "Bacterial small subunit ribosomal RNA", at positions 68 to 542 of the family's 1533-position model. Lineage: Bacteria; Bacillati; Bacillota; Bacilli; Lactobacillales; Lactobacillaceae. The record is from RNAcentral.